CCUUUGGUGGUAAAGAGGACUAAUGUACUUCCUCCGGAAGAACACUUGCUUAAUUCGAGUGUGCAGGAUGCUGGGACAAUGCACUAUAGUGUAAUACCUGCAGCCAGCCACUGUAUGGAAUGUACAGAGAGCUCAAACAAAUCCAACAUGUUUGCCUGGAUUAUAUUGUGUCUCUUGCUAAAUGCACCAAACAGAGUCACUGCAAAUACUGUAAGUUUUGCUUAUAUAUCUCUCCAAAUAUAAUUAAACACAUGCCAUGAAAAGCUAUCCAUCAAAUUUUCAACAGAAAAAAAUCCAUGCUGUGCAUCAAGUGUUUUCAAACCAUGCAACUGUAUGACUUCUUAAACAUUUACGUAUACUGAGAAACGAAUCUUGGCAAUGACAUGCAUGUUUACUGAAACAGCGAGAGCCGCACCCAUUUGAUUGAAAUGGAUGUUAAAUAUUGGAACAAGAUGUUCUGGCAAGCAACAGAACCUGAUCUGUAAAGCGUGAACUUAAUUGAUUUACAGUCUGCUUUAUAUCGGCUUAUAUUUCUCAUUUUACAAAAUGUGAGCUUAAAAUACAUUUAUUAAUAAUAUUUAUUAUUGUUAUUGUUUAUAAUGAAAGCUUCCGUUGAAGAAAGUGUGUACUAUUUAAAACAGAACUGGAUGUAAAGUUCUUAUUAAAGCUAAUAGACUGUCUGGUCUAUACUUGGCACAAUGCUUGAAAAUAAGCAAACCUUAACCUGUGCUAACUUAUGUUGUCCUGUAGGUAGUAAAAGAGUCACAGACAUCCGCUUGCCUUCUGCUAAAGGCCAUGAUGGGUGAAGUGAUUAAUAACAUUAAUAACAAGUGCUACUUGUGAUCUCUUCAAGCCACCAGUUGGGGGCACACUGAGACCACAUUAGAGAUUAAUGGACCUCAUAAACUCCAAGGCUGAACUCUUUACAAUCAUGCACUGUCCUGAAGACACAAUUUGUGUUCUUCACUCAAAAACAGGCUUAAUAUGUGCUCGAGACGUGUCCUUCGAGACUCACAUUUAGAAAUCACUGUCGUCUUUGCUGUAAUAUUUGAAUGUUCAAGUUAUUAUAUUGAAAAUUUUAUGCAAUGUCCUAUUUGUUUUUGCUCCAAGACUUGCAUAGAAUAAAUAGGAUGACUUUUCUGAAGAUGUGAGAUUAGCUACGUGAAUAUGAUUUUUUUUGACAGUUUCUAUGCAUGACCUUUAGCAGAGCCUAGAUCUGUGACGAGUCCUGUAAGCGGUCCAGUUAUUUGUUUAGCAUUGUUCUGCUGUUCUCUUUCCCAUUAUUGCCUGGAAGCUAGCUAUGUCUUCAAGGAAUUAAGCUAUUUAUGUCAGGCUGCAAUCUAGGACUCGUACUGUAUGCGUGUGUUGUCAGGGACACCCAAGCAGACAAAGGACGAAAUAUACAAAUCUGAAUGCGAUUUCAAAACACUGCAAGAAACAAUCCAUAUGCACUGUGUAUAUGUUCACAUUGCAAUUUAGCAAUAUCUUGCUGGGAUCUUAUCUGCAUACUCAGCAUGAAGAGACUUAGGCUCUUAGGGCACAGCUGGCACAUUUGUCUAUAUGCCCAUGCCACAGGUAUAGAAUAGUUUACAAUAAAAAUGAUUAUUGACUCAAUUUCUUCAAUUUCUCCAAACAGUAUGACUUUCUUUCCUCUAUGGAAUACAAAAGAUGGUUUGCUGACAGUUUUGGGUUCUAUUUUUUUCAUAAAGUGACGGGUACAAUUAAGCUUCAAAGGUGAACAAAAGAGAUCUGUUAUCUUUUCGGAAUGGCUACUUGAAAUUGCAAUGUUGGAAAGCAGCUUUGCAAAAAAUACUCUUCAGAACAGACAGCAGAGACAUAAUAAAAACAGAUGUAUACAAAUAAGGAUAAACAUAUCUUAUAAAAAUUAUGAAAUUAUUAUAUAAUGCUGAAAUAUAAUGCAUCACAAUGUUGUGAUAUUUCUACAUACACAACUACAUAGAUUAUAUCUGGGUCCUCUGUAAAAAAUUGACAAAACAUUCUCCCAACUAAUGUAAACAAAGUAUUAAUGUAAUAAUUUAUUUAAAUUCAACAUGUUUAGUUUUGUUGACCUCACUCAGAUUUCCUUCCAACAAAUCAUUCUUUGUAAAUGAGAAUAAUUUACGUGCAAUAUAUAGCACAAUAGUUCACGCUACAAGAGUAUACAGUACAUUUGUAUAGACUAAUAUAAAGGUGAUAUUCCAAUGAUAUUCAACCAAAUGUCCCAAACAGAGACACUGUUGUUGUUUUGUGAGUUUCUGUAUUGCAGCACAGCAUGUAUUGAACUUUGCAACUGUAGGGUUAUUAAGGGGCUCUAUGACCAGGUCUCGACACCAGACAGCAGGAAGGAGACUGUGGUUUUACUCAGCCACUUGUUAAGCUCCUAACCAGAGAAACAUUUAUGUAACCCAUCCAAACCAUUCACCAGGUGGCAACUGUCCGAUUAUAGUCGGAGUAAGUCCUGUGCCAGGUGCCGAGGUGACAUCAGCAUGCAGAGGGAGAUGGGACGCAGACUUCCUGGAAAACUCUUAUUUCAGGAGAUGGGCUCAUAGAGUUAUGCCACUGACUGCACAGCUUUAGAGCCUUAUUCAUGAUAUAGCGUCAUGCGUUCAUGUCAGUCUUGUCUUUUAGCCUGUAGUGAGACGGAAUAGUGCAGCUUGAUGGGAACCUGAUCCCAGAUCAACACCCAGUACCUUUUAGGGCUUUGGGGAGAUAUUCACAAAGCACUCUGGUGGUCUACUGUCAGUUUGUAUGAUCUAAAUGUAUAUGGAGAGUGCAUGUGAAAGGAAUCUGAUGCUAGACAGGCUUUAUAUAAUCCACACAUUUUUCAGUGUCGUGGAAAGCUAGCUUGUGUUAGAGCUCCUGUUACUGGGUUUUAGAAUGAACGAAUAUAAGGCUUUUAAAAGCACUUUUCCAAGAAACUGAAGGAGCAAUUGAAGUGAAGGAAUAUUGGUGCAGUGUGGAUCAAGAACAGCUGUACAGUUCAGUUGUGAACAUGUCAUGUGCAUUAGCAUUGGUACACCAUUGUAGUCUAUAGUGGCCAAUAACUAUUUGGUUGCAAGCAUUCUUUCAAAUAUCUUUCUCUGUGUUUAUCAGAGCAAAUACAUGUAUUAAAAUUUACCCACCCUCAAAUGUAACAAUUUGAGGGUGAGUAAAUGAAUAUUGAAUUUUCUUUUUUGAUGAACUGUUCCUUUAAGUGACCAUAUAUUGCAGAACAUCAGUAUGUUGCGUCCUAAUCCUUCUGGCCUGUUACCACGAUUAAAAGUUUCCACACAGGCACCGCAGAACCCGUCCUCACCUCUUCUGUAAAGUUACCAUGAUGCCAUCGAAUUAUUGCAUUAAUUUUACUUGUCAUGGAACGACAAACCACCUGCUCUUCACAUUUUCAUAUGAGACUCCUCAGUAUGGCCUCUACGCAGCAUGUUCAAGGCGAUAAGAGAUCAAGAUGGAUUUAACCAUUUCCCCAUGGCGACCUCUAUAUGGGCUUCACAAACCUACCGAAAGGUAGGUUUGACAACUUUCAACAUCAAUUAUCCUUUCGGUAGGUUUGUGAAGCCCUCCACCAAACGCACUGGACCCCCGUGGGCCACCUGCACAACCCCGUCCCCGUGCAAACAGACUUGGAGGAUUGGAGGUCCAGACAUCUCUCACAAUUUUUCACAGAACUUCAGGGAAGCUCCUGGAAUUCAGCUCACAACAACAAGGUCACACAAAUGCAGGAGAGCAGGAUGUUCCAUGAAACUGAUGUCAGCCCUGGUGCCAGUAUCUUAAAUUGGUCAAAAGUUAGGGGGCGGGGUCACUUGUCGCUUGGCUCUUAGAACAUGCAGUGUUUGAGGAGCACAGUGUCCCGACUCACUUGAGAGACAGUCCAUGUGUUUGAGCCCUGGAAGAGAUAUCAAAGGAUCUUCGAAACUAAGGUUGCAGUCUCUGUUCUCUAUUGUGCCCGUUCCCUCCUCUCAGUGACAUGCCAUUAGGCCGCAGGUCCACAUCUCUCAGACACAUUUGCACCAAGGUGCUGCUGGCUGAGGGUAGAGAGUCACCGUUCACCGAACACUGUCGAGACUUUGAGAAAAUUUACGGGGUUCUGCAGACAGAGGUCCAAAAGCUGAAGGAUGAGGUUCAGGAGAUGCACAGAGACCUCACGAUGCAUCAUUCGCUCAUUACCACAGACACCAUGGAUAGCAUCCUCCAAAUGUCUCUGCUCAUUGACCAACAGAUUGCAUCUCUGUAUUCUACCGCGCAGACCCAGAGGGCUGUAUUUGAGGAGCUAUGGGAUAUGACAUUUCAAAGAGUCAACAGUGAGCAGGAGAUCUAUGAAGCACAGCUUCAUGACCUUCUGCAGUUAAGGCAGGAAAACGCAUACUUGACAGCCAUCGCACGACAGAUUGGACCCUACAUCUUAUCAAUAACAAAAGUUAAAGAGCGCCUGGAACACAGGUUGUUUUAAAAUUGUGAAAUUGUAUAAAUUUGAACAGGCAUGCAAUCUGAGAUUUUUUUGUUGCUGUAUGCACACAGAUUACAAAAGCCCCACAGUCCUGAUGAUGAUUGCAUGGACACUAUAAAGAUAAAAAAUGUGUAUCAAUAAGAAGAGGUGCUCAGCAGUCAGGUACAGAUGGAUCUGUUAUUCUACAGCCUGGAGAGACGUUAAAAAAAGAGCAUUGACUACUGCUGGCAUAGAGAGACGCAAAAUAAUUUAGAGACCUCCUGCUGCAAAGAGCUGCAUGUUUGGACAAUUAUGAACAUUGACAGCAAACACGGCAUGCGCCAGCACAUGAACUUGGAGCAACAAGUUGCUAAAAGAUAAUAAGGACGUGGAUCGUGUUAAAGGGAUAGUGCACCCCUAUGUCAUUUCAAACCUGUAUGACUUUCUUUUUCUGCGUAACACAAAUAAUAUCUUGAAGAAUGUUGUAAACCAAACACCAUUGACUUCCAUUUUAUGGACACAAAACCACUGAGACAUUUCUCAAAAUAUCUUUUCUGUUUCAAAGUAAGACGAGUUAUAAACAGGUUUUGUACAAGAUGAUGGUGGAUAAAGGUGAAUGAUCCCUUUAAAAGCAUUUUAAGUGUGUGAUACCAAAUGGACCUUAGCACAGACAGAUCAAGUGGAUCAAAUGGCUCAUAAACUUGGUUAUUUUAGAUAGAACUGCUAUUGUUUUGAUUUGGAUUAUGAACUGUAAUGAGAGUAAAUUGUAAAUAUAAUAUAAAAAGUCAUGAUAAAAUAAAAACCUAUG
This is an RNA transcript of Triplophysa dalaica, 5228 nucleotides long. It is a transcript of the gene named ring finger protein 207a, with no coding region annotated. The transcript has 6 exons. NCBI's taxonomy places the organism in Eukaryota, Metazoa, Chordata, Actinopteri, Cypriniformes, Nemacheilidae. The record is from RefSeq and is a predicted model, not a curated record.